Pipistrellus kuhlii (Kuhl's pipistrelle) is the source of this 106-nucleotide small nuclear RNA. The record is from RefSeq and is a predicted model, not a curated record. NCBI's taxonomy places the organism in Eukaryota, Metazoa, Chordata, Mammalia, Chiroptera, Vespertilionidae.
AUGCUCACUUUGACAGCACAUGUACUAAAACUGGAAUAAUAAGAAAAGAUCAUCCUGGCCUCUGAGCAAGAAUGACACACAAAUUUGUGAAGCAUUCCAUAUUUGA